Molecule: ribosomal RNA, 468 nt
Filed under: uncultured bacterium
Lineage: Bacteria
Description: partial 16S ribosomal RNA
Rfam family: Bacterial small subunit ribosomal RNA
Source: RNAcentral
GACGUACGCUGGCGGCGUGCUUAACACAUGCAAGUCGAACGGAAAGGCCCUGCUUUUGUGGGGUGCUCGAGUGGCGAACGGGUGAGUAACACGUGAGUAACCUGCCCUUGACUUUGGGAUAACUUCAGGAAACUGGGGCUAAUACCGGAUAGGAGCUCCUGCUGCAUGGUGGGGGUUGGAAAGUUUCGGCGGUUGGGGAUGGACUCGCGGCUUAUCAGCUUGUUGGUGGGGUAGUGGCUUACCAAGGCUUUGACGGGUAGCCGGCCUGAGAGGGUGACCGGCCACAUUGGGACUGAGAUACGGCCCAGACUCCUACGGGAGGCAGCAGUGGGGAAUAUUGCACAAUGGGCGGAAGCCUGAUGCAGCAACGCCGCGUGCGGGAUGACGGCCUUCGGGUUGUAAGCCGCUUUCGCCUGUGACGAAGCGUGAGUGACGGUAAUGGGUAAAGAAGCACCGGCUAACUACGUG